This 705-nucleotide ribosomal RNA is filed under the name uncultured Alphaproteobacteria bacterium. RNAcentral describes it as "bacterial SSU rRNA". It matches the Rfam family "Bacterial small subunit ribosomal RNA", at positions 11 to 762 of the family's 1533-position model. Lineage: Bacteria; Pseudomonadati; Pseudomonadota; Alphaproteobacteria. The record is from RNAcentral.
GUUUGAUCCUGGCUCAGAACGAACGCUGGCGGCAGGCUUAACACAUGCAAGUCGAACGAUCUCUUCGGAGAUAGUGGCAGACGGGUGAGUAACACGUGGGAAUCUACCCAACUCUACGGAAUAACAGUUAGAAAUGACUGCUAAUACCGUAUACGCCCUCCGGGGGAAAGAUUUAUCGGAGUUGGAUGAGCCCGCGUUGGAUUAGCUAGUUGGUGAGGUAAUGGCUCACCAAGGCGACGAUCUAUAGCUGGUCUGAGAGGAUGAUCAGCCACACUGGGACUGAGACACGGCCCAGACUCCUACGGGAGGCAGCAGUGGGGAAUAUUGGACAAUGGGCGCAAGCCUGAUCCAGCCAUGCCGCGUGUGUGAUGAAGGCCCUAGGGUUGUAAAGCACUUUCAACGGUGAAGAUAAUGACGGUAACCGUAGAAGAAGCCCCGGCUAACUUCGUGCCAGCAGCCGCGGUAAUACGAAGGGGGCUAGCGUUGUUCGGAAUUACUGGGCGUAAAGAGUACGUAGGCGGAUUAGAAAGUUAGGGGUGAAAUCCCGAGGCUCAACCUCGGAACUGCCUCUAAAACUCCUAAUCUUGAGUUCGAGAGAGGUGAGUGGAAUUCCGAGUGUAGAGGUGAAAUUCGUAGAUAUUCGGAGGAACACCAGUGGCGAAGGCGGCUCACUGGCUCGAUACUGACGCUGAGGUACGAAAGCGU